This 714-nucleotide ribosomal RNA is filed under the name uncultured bacterium. RNAcentral describes it as "bacterial SSU rRNA". It matches the Rfam family "Bacterial small subunit ribosomal RNA", at positions 65 to 774 of the family's 1533-position model. The record is from RNAcentral.
AGCGGGAAGUAGUUUACUACUUCGCCGGCGAGCGGCGGACGGGUGAGUAAUGUCUGGGAAACUGCCUGAUGGAGGGGGAUAACUACUGGAAACGGUAGCUAAUACCGCAUAACGUCUUCGGACCAAAGUAGGGGACCUUCGGGCCUCACGCCAUCGGAUGUGCCCAGAUGGGAUUAGCUAGUAGGUGGGGUAAUGGCUCACCUAGGCGACGAUCCCUAGCUGGUCUGAGAGGAUGACCAGCCACACUGGAACUGAGACACGGUCCAGACUCCUACGGGAGGCAGCAGUGGGGAAUAUUGCACAAUGGGCGCAAGCCUGAUGCAGCCAUGCCGCGUGUGUGAAGAAGGCCUUCGGGUUGUAAAGCACUUUCAGCGAGGAGGAAGGCCAAUAACUUAAUAGGUUGUUGGAUUGACGUUACUCGCAGAAGAAGCACCGGCUAACUCCGUGCCAGCAGCCGCGGUAAUACGGAGGGUGCAAGCGUUAAUCGGAAUUACUGGGCGUAAAGCGCACGCAGGCGGUUUGUUAAGUCAGAUGUGAAAUCCCCGCGCUUAACGUGGGAACUGCAUUUGAAACUGGCAAGCUAGAGUCUUGUAGAGGGGGGUAGAAUUCCAGGUGUAGCGGUGAAAUGCGUAGAGAUCUGGAGGAAUACCGGUGGCGAAGGCGGCCCCCUGGACAAAGACUGACGCUCAGGUGCGAAAGCGUGGGGAGCAAACA